AUUGAACGCUGGCGGCAGGCUUAACACAUGCAAGUCGAACGGUAACAUAAAGAAGCUUGCUUCUUUGAUGACGAGUGGCGGACGGGUGAGUAAUGCUUGGGAAUCUAGCUUAUGGAGGGGGAUAACUACGGGAAACUGUAGCUAAUACCGCGUAGAAUCGAGAGAUGAAAGUGUGGGACCUUCGGGCCACAUGCCAUAGGAUGAGCCCAAGUGGGAUUAGGUAGUUGGUGAGGUAAAGGCUCACCAAGCCGACGAUCUCUAGCUGGUCUGAGGGGAUGACCAGCCACACUGGGACUGAGACACGGCCCAGACUCCUACGGGAGGCAGCAGUGGGGAAUAUUGCGCAAUGGGGGCAACCCUGACGCAGCCAUGCCGCGUGAAUGAAGAAGGCCUUCGGGUUGUAAAGUUCUUUCGGUAGCGAGGAAGGCAUUUAGUUUAAUAGACUAGGUGAUUGACGUUAACUACAGAAGAAGCACCGGCUAACUCCGUGCCAGCAGCCGCGGUAAUACGGAGGGUGCGAGCGUUAAUCGGAAUAACUGGGCGUAAAGGGCACGCAGGCGGUGACUUAAGUGAGGUGUGAAAGCCCCGGGCUUAACCUGGGAAUUGCAUUUCAUACUGGGUCGCUAGAGUACUUUAGGGAGGGGUAGAAUUCCACGUGUAGCGGUGAAAUGCGUAGAGAUGUGGAGGAAUACCGAAGGCGAAGGCAGCCCCUUGGGAAUGUACUGACGCUCAUGUGCGAAAGCGUGGGGAGCAAACAGG
Molecule: ribosomal RNA, 759 nt
Filed under: Parahaemophilus parainfluenzae
Lineage: Bacteria; Pseudomonadati; Pseudomonadota; Gammaproteobacteria; Pasteurellales; Pasteurellaceae
Description: Haemophilus parainfluenzae bacterial SSU rRNA
Rfam family: Bacterial small subunit ribosomal RNA
Source: RNAcentral